AACGAACGCUGGCGGCAUGCCUAACACAUGCAAGUCGAACGAGACCUUCGUGCCUAUUUGCGCACGUGUGCGUAACGCGGGGGAACCUGCCCUUAGGUUCCGAAUAACUCCCUUAAAGGUGUGCUAAUACCGGUUAAUGUCUUCGGGCCAACGAUUUAUCGCCUUUGGAUGGGCCCGGGUUGGAUUAGCUGGUUGGUAGGGUAAAAGCCUACCAAGGCGACGAUGCAUAGCUGGUGUGAGAGGAUGAUCAGCCGCACUGGGACUGAGACACGGCCCAGAAUCGGAGGGGAGGCAGCAGUGGGGAAUAUUGGACGAGGGACGAAGGCGUGGUAAAGCAAUGCCGCGUGAGUGAUGAAGGCGUUAGGAUUGCAAAGCUCUUUUACACGGGAUGAUAAUGACAGUAACGGGAGAAUAAGCUCCGGCUAACUACGUG
Molecule: ribosomal RNA, 433 nt
Filed under: uncultured bacterium
Lineage: Bacteria
Description: partial 16S ribosomal RNA
Rfam family: Bacterial small subunit ribosomal RNA
Source: RNAcentral